Haliotis rubra (blacklip abalone) is the source of this 462-nucleotide long non-coding RNA. RefSeq lists it as uncharacterized. The transcript has 3 exons. The record is from RefSeq and is a predicted model, not a curated record. NCBI's taxonomy places the organism in Eukaryota, Metazoa, Mollusca, Gastropoda, Lepetellida, Haliotidae.
UUUGGGUGGAUGAGUGAGUGAGUGAGUGGGUGAAUGGGUUAGUGGGUGAGUGAGUGGGUGAGUAUGUGAGUGGGUGAGUGAGUUGUGAUGGUUGGAAUAUCUUACAACUGAUAUGUAUCAAAAUGUAUCACUGUCAUUACUGUUGUCAGAUGUCAAAUUUAUUCACAGUUUCAACCUCCGAGGCUGCCCGCAUAGUUGUGAGUGAGUGAGUGAGUGAGUGGGUGAAUGGGUGAGUGAGUGAGUGAGUGAGUGAGUAGGUGAGUUAAUGAAUGGGUUAGUGCGUGAGUCGGUGAGUAGGUGAGUGGGUGAGUGAGUUGUGAUGGUUGGAAUAUCUUACAACUGAUAUGUAUCAAAAUGUAUCACUGUCAAUACUUUUGUCAAAUGUCAAAUUUAUUCAGUUUCAACGUCUGAGACUGCCCGCACAGUUGUGAGUGAGUGAGUGAGUGAGUGGGUGGGUAGGUG